Sparus aurata (gilthead seabream) is the source of this 2412-nucleotide long non-coding RNA. The record is from Ensembl. NCBI's taxonomy places the organism in Eukaryota, Metazoa, Chordata, Actinopteri, Spariformes, Sparidae.
GCGACUAACCUCUGUCUAUGUGUGUGUGUGUGUGUGUGUGUGUGUGUGUAUGUGUGUGUUCCUCAAAUAUCUCUGCGGAUCAGGAUCAGACUGACCUGAGAGUUUCAACAUGGCUGCUGUGUGGUUCAAGGGUGUGAUAUUUCGCAUUUGUUUGGAUUGCAAUGAUACCGUUAAUAAAUUAUUUCAUAAAUGCUUUACAAAUUCCACGAGCAUUGUCCACCGGAGCCACUAUAGUCACGUGCGCACCAGAGCCAAUCACUGCAGAGCCCACCGCGACCCCCCCCACCUUAAGAAACAAGCAGACUUAUAACUGCAGCGGCGCGAGCUGGACCGGGAUUUUGCCGGCGGUUCGGUCCCGUUCUGUUCUGUGCAUCUAAACUGACUGUUGUGGAUUAAUGAGACUAAAAGAGUCCGGAUCGAGUCUGUUCGGGUCUGAGGAGAUCCGGAGACGCGCGGACAACAAAGUGGAAUCAGAUCUGUGGAUGUUCUUGUGUACGCUAGCUAGCUGCUAGCCGCUAGCUACACAGCCCACCUCCCGAUCGAGGCGAUGGACCGGACUCACCGGCACGUCCAAAACCGGACUUAGGGAGACACUUUUGAGUUUACAAAAACUGCAAGCUGCCAGAAAAAGGGAGCUAAGCUGUGGCACCCACUGGACUCUUCACGUACUGUUCUGGUGGCUCGAUGGGACGGUGUUUGGAUCCCGGGUCAGCACUACGAGGACAGGAUCGACCUGAACGCGUCGGUGGUCUUGAAGAACAUAAACUUCAACGACAACGGGCUGUUCGAGUUGAGCUGUGAGGAGACACUGACCCAGCUGGACGUUGUCAGAGCCUCUGAAGUGUCAGUGAGUGCAGGUGGAGCUGUCAGCUUCUCCUUCUUCUACGUCACCUCAGGAGCGCAGGGGAAGUUCAGGCUGGUCAGAAACAGGGAGACAGUGUGUGAGCUGGACCUGUCCUCCGGGACCAUCACAGAUGGGACCGGCUCUGAGGAGAGACUCUCUCUGCCCUCUGAUUGGAGGAGACACGGAGACCUGACUCCGACCCUGCAGCGGGUGAAGCCAGAGGACCAGGGUGAUUACUUUGCAUAUGUGGAGGGAAAAGAUGGAAAGAGAAGAAGUCUCUCUGCCUGGAGGAUCAAGGUCCUGGAUCAAGACCCGGAUCAGACCACCGCCACACCUGGAACUGCUGAUGAGACGACGGACACUCGGACACACCUGGACCCACCUCUGAAUCAAACGCAGCGACCAGCUGGAGAACAGAAGGGAACCUGCAGUGGGACCGUCAGCGCUGUAGCGGUGUUCAUGUUUGUGGCUGCUGGUCUAGCAGGCUUCGGUUUAUGUUGGUGGAUAAAAUCCUGCAGACCGAGUGGACCACAUGGUUCCUCUGGACCCGGUGCUGAAGGACCCUCCACAGACGUGGAGAUGAGUCUUGUAAAGGAGGAGAACCCUGCUGGUUCUGAAGAGGAUGUGGGCCCUUCAAAGCUUCAUGGCUAGACAAUGGCUGAUCAUUAGGGUGGUUAAUCAGCCCAAUUUCCCGAUUCGAUUCUGAUCAUUGAAGUCUUGAUUCGAUUACAAAUUGAUUUGCAAUUAUUAAUGAUUAUUGAUCUUCCAUUUAACAUCAGUCAGCUGCUGAAUUAUCUUACUUCUCUUGUGAGUAACACCUCACAGCACCUUCAACAUUGUAUAGUGUAACUGUCAUAUCAAAAUUAUUAUUUUUUACUUUGUUUUAAAUUCACUGUUUAAAGAAAGUUGCCAAGCUCAGCAGCCGGACUCAUGUUAGAAGCGUUGUUGGUGACGAGAACCAGGUCGUGUUUCUCAGCUCCCCACUCGUCUGCCAUUGCUUUGUAAAUCCGCUCAAAGGUUAAAAUCCAAAUUAAAGGAGAAGCUGUUCAGAGACUAAGUCCAAAUCAAAGACGAGGCAGCAGGUCUUCAGUUCAAAAAGGUGUUCAUUCUAAGAGAAGUAAUAAAUCCAUGAGGUACCCCGGGGCAGCUGAGAAAUCUCCCGGGAUCACCCCCUUUUAUACCUGGGGUUGAUGUCACCAAUGCCCUUCUUGGACCACCCCCCUCGUCAUGAUCACACGAGACUCUCAUCUUCAUUUUUUAAUGUGUUCCUUAAUGCCUACAAAGUGUCUCACCCAGGCCUCUAUCUGUGGCCUUGAGUGCUUCCUCACUCCAGCCCUGUUAUUAUAAAGGCAGCAUCUGACCUUGGUCUUACAUCAGGCUAAUAUUCACUGUUAGCACACAACUUCAAGGUGUAUUUCUCAAAUCAGUUUAUAUGCAUGAUCAUGAUCAGCUUAUGUUUGCCACUACAAUGACCGCUUGAAGAGAUGAGUGUUUUGUAUCAUACGAUGUGCCACAGUCUGCUCUUGAAUGCACUGCUGUAAAUAAAUCUCUAUUUUAUCAAAAUACAA